GCGUGGAUGAAGAAGGUCUUCGGAUUGUAAAGUCCUUUCGGCGGGGACGAUGAUGACGGUACCCGCAGAAGAAGCCCCGGCUAACUUCGUGCCAGCAGCCGCGGUAAUACGAAGGGGGCUAGCGUUGCUCGGAAUUACUGGGCGUAAAGGGCGCGUAGGCGGCCUUGUUUGUCAGGCGUGAAAUUCCUGGGCUUAACCUGGGGGCUGCGCUUGAUACGGCGAGGCUUGAGGACGGAAGAGGGUCGUGGAAUUCCCAGUGUAGAGGUGAAAUUCGU
RNAcentral lists this ribosomal RNA (275 nucleotides) under uncultured bacterium. Its description in RNAcentral is "partial 16S ribosomal RNA". It matches the Rfam family "Bacterial small subunit ribosomal RNA", at positions 399 to 691 of the family's 1533-position model. The record is from RNAcentral.